RNAcentral lists this ribosomal RNA (252 nucleotides) under uncultured bacterium. RNAcentral's name for it is "partial 16S ribosomal RNA". It matches the Rfam family "Bacterial small subunit ribosomal RNA", at positions 524 to 776 of the family's 1533-position model. The record is from RNAcentral.
UACGGAGGAUGCGAGCGUUAUCCGGAUUUAUUGGGUUUAAAGGGUGCGUAGGCGGCAUGGUAAGUCAGCGGUCAAAUCGAGGGGCUCAACCCCUUUCCGCCGUUGAAACUGCCGUGCUUGAGUGGGCGAGAAGUAUGCGGAAUGCGUGGUGUAGCGGUGAAAUGCAUAGAUAUCACGCAGAACUCCGAUUGCGAAGGCAGCAUACCGGCGCCCGACUGACGCUGAGGCACGAAAGCGUGGGGAUCGAACAGG